This 86-nucleotide non-coding RNA is filed under the name unclassified sequences. RNAcentral describes it as "freshwater-2 RNA". It matches the Rfam family "freshwater-2 RNA". Rfam says of the family: Aquatic, esp. fresh water. No recognized genes The record is from RNAcentral.
UCUUACAUCUGGUAAGAGACUUAUGCGGAUCAAACCGCGUAGCCAGGAGAACUGGCAUUGGACUCCUUUAAAGGAGAAAACAAAUG